AUCACUUCUGGGCCUUUUGGCUAAGAUCAAGUGUAGUAUCUGUUCUUAUCAAUUUAAUAUCUGAUACAUCCCUAUAUCGAAAAACAAUAUAUUAAAUGGAUUUUUGAAGCAGGGAGAUGGAAUAGAAGCUUGCUCCAGGCACUCUGCAAACUGAUCUGGUAUUGCACUACUUCUGGGAAUGGUGCACAAAAU
Molecule: small nuclear RNA, 192 nt
Organism: Phyllostomus discolor (pale spear-nosed bat)
Lineage: Eukaryota; Metazoa; Chordata; Mammalia; Chiroptera; Phyllostomidae
Product: U2 spliceosomal RNA
Exons: 1
Source: RefSeq, a predicted model, not a curated record